CACAAAACUGCUGUUGCUCACUGAAGUGACUUGUGGCAGUAGAGGGAAGGAAAAAGGAAGCUGGAGAAGCUGUCUCAUGAAGCUGAAUCUGCUGUCCAAUUUCAUUCUCAUUUUCUCAACUAAGUACAUUUUCAGCAUAAAACCUAUACGUGAUACAGACUAUUUCAGCUGAAGGAUGCUCUUCCUCACCUAGCCUGUGGCCAGUAGGGAGAAGUUCC
Molecule: long non-coding RNA, 218 nt
Filed under: Numida meleagris (helmeted guineafowl)
Lineage: Eukaryota; Metazoa; Chordata; Aves; Galliformes; Numididae
Description: lncRNA (ENSNMEG00000021770.1)
Source: RNAcentral